Molecule: ribosomal RNA, 479 nt
Filed under: uncultured bacterium
Lineage: Bacteria
Description: partial 16S ribosomal RNA
Rfam family: Bacterial small subunit ribosomal RNA
Source: RNAcentral
GAUGAACGCUAGCGGGAGGCCUAACACAUGCAAGCCGAGCGGUAUUGUUUCUUCGGAAAUGAGAGAGCGGUGUACGGGUGCGUAACACGUGUGCAACCUGCCUUUAUCUGGGGGAUAGCCUUUCGAAAGGAAGAUUAAUACUCCAUAAUAUAUUGAACGGCAUCGUUUAAUAUUGAAAGCUCCGGCGGAUAGAGAUGGGCACGCGCAAGAUUAGCUAGUUGGUGAGGUAACGGCUCACCAAGGCGAUGAUCUUUAGGGGGCCUGAGAGGGUGAUCCCCCACACUGGUACUGAGACACGGACCAGACUCCUACGGGAGGCAGCAGUGAGGAAUAUUGGUCAAUGGGUGCAAGCCUGAACCAGCCAUCCCGCGUGAAGGACGACUGCCCUAUGGGUUGUAAACUUCUUUUGUAUAGGGAUAAACCUACCCUCGAGAGGGUAGCUGAAGGUACUAUACGAAUAAGCACCGGCUAACUCCGUG